Molecule: long non-coding RNA, 350 nt
Filed under: Vigna radiata
Lineage: Eukaryota; Viridiplantae; Streptophyta; Magnoliopsida; Fabales; Fabaceae
Description: long non-coding RNA (VRAD_LNC007325)
Source: RNAcentral
AGCCCUCUCUCCGAAAGUCUCGACUACCAAACCGACCACCUGAUCGGCGGUUUCUCCCUCCACCAUAAGACCGAGCAGCAUACCGAGAGAGCCAAGCAGGUACUUCUUGAUUUGCUUCUUGCAUCAGAUCUGCUAAAGCUCUAGCUAGUGAUGAAUUGUUAUCAUUAAAGAAUGCAGUUGCAAGGCCUUUCUUUCCAGCUCGCCCUGUUCUUCCAAUCCGGUGUACAUAAUCAUCAAUAUCAUUUGGCAGGUCAAAGUUGACUACAUGAGCAACAUGGGGGAUAUCAAGACCACGUGCAGCAACAUCGGUAGCAACCAAUAUGGGGGUGUUGCCACUUUUAAAAGACCUC